RNAcentral lists this ribosomal RNA (744 nucleotides) under Bacillus sp. biosZ3. RNAcentral describes it as "bacterial SSU rRNA". It matches the Rfam family "Bacterial small subunit ribosomal RNA", at positions 45 to 768 of the family's 1533-position model. Lineage: Bacteria; Bacillati; Bacillota; Bacilli; Caryophanales; Bacillaceae. The record is from RNAcentral.
UGCCUAAUACAUGCAAGUCGAGCGAAUGGAUUAAGAGCUUGCUCUUAUGAAGUUAGCGGCGGACGGGUGAGUAACACGUGGGUAACCUGCCCAUAAGACUGGGAUAACUCCGGGAAACCGGGGCUAAUACCGGAUAACAUUUUGAACCGCAUGGUUCGAAAUUGAAAGGCGGCUUCGGCUGUCACUUAUGGAUGGACCCGCGUCGCAUUAGCUAGUUGGUGAGGUAACGGCUCACCAAGGCAACGAUGCGUACCCGACCUGAGAGGGUGAUCGGCCACACUGGGACUGAGACACGGCCCAGACUCCUACGGGAGGCAGCAGUAGGGAAUCUUCCGCAAUGGACGAAAGUCUGACGGAGCAACGCCGCGUGAGUGAUGAAGGCUUUCGGGUCGUAAAACUCUGUUGUUAGGGAAGAACAUGUGCUAGUUGAAUAAACUGGCACCUUGACGGUACCUAACCAGAAAGCCACGGCUAACUACGUGCCAGCAGCCGCGGUAAUACGUAGGUGGCAAGCGUUAUCCGGAAUUAUUGGGCGUAAAGCGCGCGCAGGUGGUUUCUUAAGUCUGAUGUGAAAGCCCACGGCUCACCCGUGGAGGGACAUUGGAAACUGGGAGACUUGAGUGCAGAUGAGGAAAGUAGACCUCCAUGUGUAGCGGAGAAAUGCGUACAGAUAUAGACGAACACCUUUGGUUGACGCGACUUUCGGGUAUGUAUCUGACGCUGGAUGCUGGAAAGCUUGAGAAG